Molecule: ribosomal RNA, 938 nt
Filed under: Enterococcus hirae
Lineage: Bacteria; Bacillati; Bacillota; Bacilli; Lactobacillales; Enterococcaceae
Description: bacterial SSU rRNA
Rfam family: Bacterial small subunit ribosomal RNA
Source: RNAcentral
CGCUGGCGGCGUGCCUAAUACAUGCAAGUCGAACGCUUCUUUUUCCACCGGAGCUUGCUCCACCGGAAAAAGAGGAGUGGCGAACGGGUGAGUAACACGUGGGUAACCUGCCCAUCAGAAGGGGAUAACACUUGGAAACAGGUGCUAAUACCGUAUAACAAUCGAAACCGCAUGGUUUUGAUUUGAAAGGCGCUUUCGGGUGUCGCUGAUGGAUGGACCCGCGGUGCAUUAGCUAGUUGGUGAGGUAACGGCUCACCAAGGCGACGAUGCAUAGCCGACCUGAGAGGGUGAUCGGCCACAUUGGGACUGAGACACGGCCCAAACUCCUACGGGAGGCAGCAGUAGGGAAUCUUCGGCAAUGGACGAAAGUCUGACCGAGCAACGCCGCGUGAGUGAAGAAGGUUUUCGGAUCGUAAAACUCUGUUGUUAGAGAAGAACAAGGAUGAGAGUAACUGUUCAUCCCUUGACGGUAUCUAACCAGAAAGCCACGGCUAACUACGUGCCAGCAGCCGCGGUAAUACGUAGGUGGCAAGCGUUGUCCGGAUUUAUUGGGCGUAAAGCGAGCGCAGGCGGUUUCUUAAGUCUGAUGUGAAAGCCCCCGGCUCAACCGGGGAGGGUCAUUGGAAACUGGGAGACUUGAGUGCAGAAGAGGAGAGUGGAAUUCCAUGUGUAGCGGUGAAAUGCGUAGAUAUAUGGAGGAACACCAGUGGCGAAGGCGGCUCUCUGGUCUGUAACUGACGCUGAGGCUCGAAAGCGUGGGGAGCAAACAGGAUUAGAUACCCUGGUAGUCCACGCCGUAAACGAUGAGUGCUAAGUGUUGGAGGGUUUCCGCCCUUCAGUGCUGCAGCUAACGCAUUAAGCACUCCGCCUGGGGAGUACGACCGCAAGGUUGAAACUCAAAGGAAUUGACGGGGGCCCGCACAAGCGGUGGAGCAUGU